GACGAACGCUGGCGGCGUGCUUAACACAUGCAAGUCGAACGGAAAGGCCCUGCUUUUGUGGGGUGCUCGAGUGGCGAACGGGUGAGUAACACGUGAGCAACCUGCCCUUGACUUUGGGAUAACUUCAGGAAACUGGGGCUAAUACCGGAUAGGAGCUCCUGCUGCAUGGUGGGGGUUGGAAAGUUUCGGCGGUUGGGGAUGGACUCGCGGCUUAUCAGCUUGUUGGUGGGGUAGUGGCUUACCAAGGCUUUGACGGGUAGCCGGCCUGAGAGGGUGACCGGCCACAUUGGGACUGAGAUACGGCCCAGACUCCUACGGGAGGCAGCAGUGGGAAAUAUUGCACAAUGGGCGGAAGCCUGAUGCAGCAACGCCGCGUGCGGGAUGACGGCCUUCGGGUUGUAAACCGCUUUCGCCUGUGACGAAGCGUGAGUGACGGUAAUGGGUAAAGAAGCACCGGCUAACUACGUGCCAGCAGCCGCGGUGAUACGUAGGGUGCGAGCGUUGUCCGGAUUUAUUGGGCGUAAAGGGCUCGUAGGUGGUUGAUCGCGUCGGAAGUGUAAUCUUGGGGCUUAACCCUGAGCGUGCUUUCGAUACGGGUUGACUUGAGGAAGGUAGGGGAGAAUGGAAUUCCUGGUGGAGCGGUGGAAUGCGCAGAUAUCAGGAGGAACACCAGUGGCGAAGGCGGUUCUCUGGGCCUUUCCUGACGCUGAGGAGCGAAAGCGUGGGGAGCGAACAGGCUUAGAUACCCUGGUAGUCCACGCUGUAAACGGUGGGUACUAGGUGUGGGGUCCAUUCCACGGGUUCCGUGCCGUAGCUAACGCUUUAAGUACCCCGCCUGGGGAGUACGGCCGCAAGGCUAAAACUCAAAGGAAUUGACGGGGCCCCGCACAAGCGGCGGAGCAUGCGGAUUAAUUCGAUGCAACGCGUAGAACCUUACCUGGGUUUGACAUGGAUCGGGAGUGCUCAGAGAUGGGUGUGCCUCUUUUGGGGUCGGUUCACAGGUGGUGCAUGGCUGUCGUCAGCUCGUGUCGUGAGAUGUUGGGUUAAGUCCCGCAACGAGCGCAACCCUUGUUCACUGUUGCCAGCACGUUAUGGUGGGGACUCAGUGGAGACCGCCGGGGUCAACUCGGAGGAAGGUGGGGAUGACGUCAAGUCAUCAUGCCCCUUAUGUCCAGGGCUUCACGCAUGCUACAAUGGCUGGUACAGAGAGUGGCGAGCCUGUGAGGGUGAGCGAAUCUCGGAAAGCCGGUCUCAGUUCGGAUUGGGGUCUGCAACUCGACCUCAUGAAGUCGGAGUCGCUAGUAAUCGCAGAUCAGCAACGCUGCGGUGAAUACGUUCCCGGG
Molecule: ribosomal RNA, 1343 nt
Filed under: uncultured bacterium
Lineage: Bacteria
Description: 16S ribosomal RNA
Rfam family: Bacterial small subunit ribosomal RNA
Source: RNAcentral